Syngnathus acus (greater pipefish) is the source of this 366-nucleotide long non-coding RNA. RefSeq lists it as uncharacterized. Lineage: Eukaryota; Metazoa; Chordata; Actinopteri; Syngnathiformes; Syngnathidae. The record is from RefSeq and is a predicted model, not a curated record. The transcript is spliced from 3 exons.
AUACAAUAGUUUGAGCUGAGGUCGAGUCAUUAAAGCGUCGUCACAAAUCAUUAGCUUUAGCAGAGUGUUGUCGCGGCACGUGACCCCAUAGGCGUGGUCUUUUCUCCGCCAAGUUUGAAGUUAGUUUGGGACGGAUGACCAUCGAUCAUUUUGAGAAGACAAGCCAGCGCAUGAGCUCUGAUCAGCGGAGUCAGAGUGCGUCAAAAGUUGUUUCGAGAUGGUUAAAGAUAUAAUCGUAUUUGCUGAUGUACAUGCACCCUUUGACGACGACUUUAGUGGAGUCUAUCUAACACAAUCAGACUACGAUCUCGUGGCCGCGGCCACUAGAAAAAACUAACCGCCGACACAAGCUGGUUUUGAAACCCA